GAGUCAUUGGGACUCUACUAAACCUAAAGGCGCAAUGAAAGUAAAGGUCCGCCUAGCGCGGACCGAGGGAGGAUGGGACCGCCCUCGGGCGGACCCCGCACUCCCGGGGCGUCUCGUUCUCAUCGCGAGGAGAGGCGCACCCAGAGCGUACACGCUGGGACCCGAAAGAUGGUGAACUAUGCCUGGUCAGGACGAAGUCAGGGGAAACCCUGAUGGAGGUCCGUAGCGAUUCUGACGUGCAAAUCGAUCGUCGGAACUGGGUAUAGGGGCGAAAGACUAAUCGAACCUUCUAGUAGCUGGUUCCCUCCGAAGUUUCCCUCAGGAUAGCUGGCGCUCGCCUUUGCGAGUCUCAUUCGGUAAAGCGAAUGAUUAGAGGCAUUGGGGUCGAAACGGCCUCAACCUAUUCUCAAACUUUAAAUGGGUGAGAUCUCCGGCUUGCUUGAAAAGUGAAGCCGCGAGAGAUCGGAUCACAGAGUGCCAAGUGGGCCACUUUUGGUAAGCAGAACUGGCGCUGUGGGAUGAACCAAACGCAGAGUUAAAGCGCCCAAAUCGACGCUUAUGGGAUACCAUGAAAGGCGUUGGUAACUUAAGACAGC
RNAcentral lists this ribosomal RNA (596 nucleotides) under Canthidium rufinum. RNAcentral describes it as "eukaryotic LSU rRNA". It matches the Rfam family "Eukaryotic large subunit ribosomal RNA", at positions 688 to 1241 of the family's 3401-position model. The record is from RNAcentral. Lineage: Eukaryota; Metazoa; Arthropoda; Insecta; Coleoptera; Scarabaeidae.